ACCACCCUUUAAUGGCUGGUGUUCUAACGUGGACCCGUUACCCGGGUUGCGGACAGUGUCUGGUGGGUAGUUUGACUGGGGCGGUCUCCUCCCAAAGAGUAACGGAGGAGCACGAAGGUUGGCUAAUCCUGGUCGGACAUCAGGAGGUUAGUGCAAUGGCAUAAGCCAGCUUGACUGCGAGCGUGACGGCGCGAGCAGGUGCGAAAGCAGGUCAUAGUGAUCCGGUGGUUCUGAAUGGAAGGGCCAUCGCUCAACGGAUAAAAGGUACUCCGGGGAUAACAGGCUGAUACCGCCCAAGAGUUCAUAUCGACGGCGGUGUUUGGCACCUCGAUGUCGGCUCAUCACAUCCUGGGGCUGAAGUAGGUCCCAAGGGUAUGGCUGUUCGCCAUUUAAAGUGGUACGCGAGCUGGGUUUAGAACGUCGUGAGACAGUUCGGUCCCUAUCUGCCGUGGGCGCUGGAGAAUUGAGGGGGGCUGCUCCUAGUACGAGAGGACCGGAGUGGACGCAUCACUGGUGUUCGGGUUGUCAUGCCAAUGGCACUGCCCGGUAGCUAAAUGCGGAAGAGAUAAGUGCUGAAAGCAUCUAAGCACGAAACUUGCCCC
Molecule: ribosomal RNA, 602 nt
Filed under: Enterobacter hormaechei
Lineage: Bacteria; Pseudomonadati; Pseudomonadota; Gammaproteobacteria; Enterobacterales; Enterobacteriaceae
Description: partial 23S ribosomal RNA
Rfam family: Bacterial large subunit ribosomal RNA
Source: RNAcentral